CUAUACAUUUAAAAUGAAUUUCCCUAAAAGGUAGAGGAUGAUCCAUGAAUUAAUCUAACCAUCAACUAAAAAAAUCCUAGAUGAAAACAUAGCAGAAAAGUUAGAAAAACUCUUUGCUUUGGAUCUAGUUAUACUUUUCGAGUAUAUUGACAAUUCAAAAAAACUGCUCAUACUAUGAUUAUAGUAUAAUCACGAGCGGUUGUAUAUGGCCCUAUCGUCUAGUGAUGCCCCUAUCGUCUAGUGGUUCAGGACAUCUCUCUUUCAAGGAGGCAGCGGGGAUUCGACUUCCCCUGGGGGUAGGGAGUAUUAUGAAAGGAGGUUAAUCAUAGAUUAGCAAAAACCCUAGAAUAAAUUCUUCCUGGGUCGAUGCCCGAGUGGUUAAUGGGGACGGACUGUAAAUUCGUUGACAAUGUCUACGCUGGUUCAAAUCCAGCUCGGCCCAAAAAUCUAGGGCUUCGUGAAUAUGAACUAAAUCCUUUUGUUUUUCUCCCAUAAAAUAAAAUGUCUGAUCUAUAGAAAUAAAAGAGAAAUAAAAAAGGGGAUUUUUUUUCUAAUCCAUAUCUCUCUCAUUCCUUUCUUACAAACAAAAGAGUUUUUCUUGUUGAAGGGUGGAUUAUUAUCCAUUUUUAGUGAUAAAAAAUCACGACAUACUAGUUAUGUCACUCUCACUAUACCCACGUAUAAUAUAAUAUUAAUAUGUGGGUAUGUAGUAUAUGAUUCGUCUAUUUCUUAGAGUACGACAGACGAAUCGAAUCUUCUUAUGGUUCUAUUUAAGAAUGGGUAUGCCAUACACCCCGCGGGGAUUGUAGUUCAAUUGGUCAGAGCACCGCCCUGUCAAGGCGGAAGCUGCGGGUUCGAGCCCCGUCAGUCCCGAACUAGGGUUCAAUGAAUGGAGAAAUUCAUAUUUCCUUUUUCCAUGAAAAAAAAGGGGCAGGGAGCAAGAUCAAAUACCCAUAGGGCACCCUUACUUCACUUUUUUAUUUUGCAUCUCUCAUUAAAGAGGGAGGGAAGGAGUAUAGGAAUUUUUUUCACUACUCCCGAUCGAUAAAGAUAAAGAAAGACACACAUACGAUAUGUGGAUUAGUAGAAUUUUAGGAUAUUACUCUAUCUUUCUUUAUGAUGAUACCAUCCUCAUCUUAAUUUCCUAUUCCACUGUUAUGGAAUAGAGUACCGGUAUUUUACCGGAAUCCAUACAUAAAUUGUAUUCCCUUUUUAUUUCAGACCUCUUUUCCCCAUCUCACUUCUACUGCUUAUUUGGAUGUCUAUGUGACCCAUAGAAAGUUGCUCAUAUAAUACAUACAUAAUUGUAUGUAUAACUAUAAGAAAAAGGAAGAGAAAUUGUAUAAGAUUAAGAAAGCUCGUGGGUUAGAGAUAUAGAAAAGAAAAAGUAGAAAAAAAAGGAUUAAAAAAGAGGGAAUUCCUAAUCCAAUCAAAAAACCCAUUUUGGUCUUAGUAUGGAUAUAGGAUCUUCCUAUGUUAUACUAUAUAACUCUCAUCCAUGAAUUGAUUUGAUAGAUCCGAUAUUCAUAAUAUUGAAUUGAUUCAGUAUUAUCAGAAUGCAAGCCCUACCCUUGAAUUUACAAGAUACCCCUUUUUCCUCUCCAUGGGAUUACAUCCCGAGUUAUUGUGAAAAUAAAAAAUAAAGAGGUUAUGGAAGUCAAUAUUCUCGCAUUUAUUGCUACUGCACUGUUCAUUCUAAUUCCUACUUCUUUUUUACUUAUUAUUUAUGUAAAAACAGUCAGCCAAAAUAAUUAAGUGGAAUUCCAAUUAAUCAUUGAAGAAAUGAAAAAGGGAUUAAAUAAAAAAAAUCCAAGUCUUAAAUGAAAGGAUCUGGUUGGAAUCUUAAAGUGUGGUAGAAAGAACUACAUAUAGUUUUUUCUACGACACUUUAGAGUCUUUCUAUUAUAUUAUCUUUGAAUCUACAUAGAAUAGAUUAGUAGAUUGAAAUAGUUAAGUAGUCUAAUUCAAUUUCUUUUUUCAUUGCAUCCACUUAAUUUCAAUCAGGUCAAAAUAAAAAAAUCGAAGACAAUUCUUGACCAAAGAAUCCAUGGAAGGAAAGAAAAAUAAUAUAAGAAUAGACUAUAGUAAAAAGUAAAAGGAAAAAACCAGCGAAUCUUUCAUGCUUAAAUAUCCCGCGAGAUGCUUCAAAAGAGAAUAAAAAUUAUUCUAAGAAUAAAGAAAGAGUAUAAAACAAAUGGAAAAUGUGUGAUAUGCCGUGAAUAGUUCCGUGGAAGAAAGUCUAAUUUUCUUAUGUAUAGAACUUUUUUUAACCAUUAGUCAUUUCUAGUAGAAAUUCUUAAUUGGUAUAAUGGCUCUUUCUUACAAUACAAGAGUUUCUUACAGGAGUGAAACAAAACUAAAGAAAAAGAUUAAAGAAUAACGUUUGACAAAAUAAUUAAUGCAAAACGAUCAAUUAAAAAAAGAAUUGAUACAACAAUUUGAUUACUUAAUCAAUUAGUAGUAUCGUAUCCCUAGAGUCCACUCCUUCCCCAUACUACUAGUGAAAGAGAAAAUGUAAAGACUACCAUUAAAGCAGCCCAAGCGAGACUUACUAUAUCCAUCUAAAUUAUGUCUCCUAUUUCUAUGAAGGGAUUAUUCUACUAUUGAUCAAUAAUCAUAGUGGAAUCAAGGGUACAGAGUCAAAAAGGGCUUCUGCCCUAAGGCCAUGGAUCAAUCAGUUCAAGGAAUUUACUCCUAACAAAUUCUUAUAGGAAUUCUUGUAGAAUUAGAGAGCAUUAAAAAUACGAUACUAUACUAUAAGCCCUUUUUUCCUUACCUUAAAAAAGAAAGAGUACGGGAAUGAUGUCCUGAAUAGAAGAAGCGGGAAUAGGAAGAUUUUUUAUUCCUUUUGUUACUCUAGUGUAUGUAGGUCACAUAAGAUGUACGAUAAAAAAAUGUAUGAUAAUUAGGAAGUCUUGAUAUUCUUUCGUGGAGUCCCUUCUGGAAUCUUAGAUUGAAAAAGAGAAGAAUGCCCCUUAGGGACCUUUCUUUGGAUACCAAGAUUUCUGACAUCUUAUCCUCGUAUUUAAAAAUUCUCAAAUCGAAUCAAUUAAGAACCAAUUCAAAUUCAUAUAAUAAAAGAAUAAGGAAACACUACCUCACCCCUAUUGAUAACCAUUUUGGCCACUACCGCCAAAACAAACCCUAACCCUAGUUUAAGGAUAGAACUAUGGUAUGGUUUCUCUAAACCCAGUAUCGGCAGGCUUAGUUACUCUCUUGCCCGAACUUAUGCGAAGUAAAAAUUGAUUGAAUUCGAUCAGUACUAGAAAACCUAAGUAUUUUAUUGAUCAGGCGGCACCCAGAUUUGAACUGGGGAUAAAGGAUUUGCAGUCCCCUGCCUUACCGCUUGGCCAUGCCGCCAAAAAAUCCGAUCGAAAAUCUAGAAAACAGCAAGUAUUCAUCCACGUUUUCUUACGAAAAGCCCCUUUCUUUUAUUUUGAAUAUAAUUAAACUUACUUUUUUCCAAUCUUUUUCAAAAAAGAUACUCCUGCUUUUUUUGAUCCAGUUUCGAUUAUUCUCCUCGAUAGAUUCUAUCUUAAAACAUACAUUGCUAACACAAUAAAACUUCCCAUUUCUUUCUAUUGAGAUGAAAAAGAAGAAAAGUGGAUUUCUAGUCACAGGCUGCAAAAUUCAGAACAAAUUGGAACCAUUAACUAGAAUUCUCUUUCUUUUUUGAAUUGCAGUAGUGAACUACUCUUAAAUCGGUAUUAUCUCCCCCCCUUCAAUUUCAAUGGCAUAAUAAAAUAUUAUGGCUUUAUGCUUAAUCCGUGUAUAGGUGAACUUUAGGUCCGAGCAGCAUUAUUAUCCAAAGAUCCCCUUUAUGUACAUAUCUCUAUGGGGAAUCGUGCUUUAAUUUUUCAAAGUAUUAAAUUAAAUAUCUUGAAUAAAAAAAGGAAAUUUGCUCUGAUAUUAGAGUAUAACCUGACUAUCUUGGCCUACCCAAGUGAAAUUACGAUAAAAGAAAAGCAUGGAUAUGGGGAGAGGUGGAUAAUUAGAUUGGCAUGUACUUAAAAAAGGGACUUACUUUAUUUUAGAAUUCCACAAUGAAAUACUUAAUUUUCUAGCAAUUAUACUACUCCGAUCCGAAAUAAAAAAGAACCCUCAAAUUAUUUUUAGAAAUUAAAGUAAGCACGCUAUUCUAAAUCGAAGUAAAGUAAAACUUUCUAGUGUAUUAUAUUACGGCUUUAUUACAUUCAUAGAAAGGGGAUAAAAUGAGAAAUCUUUGCCAUUCAAUCUGAUUAGAAUAUUAUAAAGUAUAAGUGGCAUAAUUUUUUUUGUAGGAAUAUUUUAGCAAUUCAUUUUCAUUUCAUUUGUACCCCUGGUAAACUAGAAUUUUCGUCGAAAUGGUCUCUAUUCAUAUGUAUGAAAUACAUAUAUGAAAUACGUAUGUGGAGUUCCCUAGAAUUUCAUGUGAUUCAGUAAACAGAAUAUAGAUUCCAUGAUUGCUAGAUCAAUCCGUAGGGAUUGAUGAAGAGUGAGCUGAUAAUGGAAUUUUUCUUUGAUAAACAGGAAACUUAAGAUUAAGAUGCUCCGGAAUGGAAACGAGGGAAUGUCCACAAUACCCGGAUUUAGUCAGAUCCAAUUCGAGGGAUUUUUUAGGUUCAUUAAUCAAGCCUUGGCAGAAGAACUUGACAAGUUUCCAACAAUUAAAGAUCCAGAUCACGAAAUUGCAUUUCAAUUAUUUGCGGAAGGAUAUCAAUUGCUAGAACCCUCGAUAAAAGAAAGAGAUGCUGUGUAUGAAUCACUCACCUAUUCUUCCGAAUUAUAUGUAUCUGCGAGAUUAAUUUUUGGUUUCGAUGUGCAAAAGCAAACCAUUUCUAUCGGAAACAUUCCUAUAAUGAAUUCCUUAGGAACCUUUAUUAUAAAUGGAAUAUACCGAAUUGUGAUCAAUCAAAUAUUGCUAAGUCCUGGUAUUUACUACCGCUCGGAAUUAGAUCAUAAGGGAAUUUCUAUCUACACCGGGACUAUAAUAUCAGAUUGGGGAGGGAGAUCGGAAUUAGCAAUUGAUAAAAAAGAAAGGAUAUGGGCUCGCGUGAGUAGAAAACAAAAGAUAUCUAUUCUAGUUCUAUCAUCAGCUAUGGGUUCGAAUCUAAGAGAAAUUCUAGAUAAUGUUUCCUACCCUGAAAUUUUCUUGUCUUUCCCGAAUGCUAAGGAGAAGAAGAGGAUUGAGUCAAAAGAAAAAGCUAUUUUGGAGUUUUAUCAACAAUUUGCUUGUGUAGGUGGGGACCUGGUAUUUUCGGAGUCCUUAUGCGAGGAAUUACAAAAGAAAUUUUUUCAACAAAAAUGUGAAUUAGGAAGGAUUGGUCGACGAAAUAUGAAUCGGAGACUUAAUCUUGAUAUACCUCAGAACAAUACAUUCUUGUUACCACGAGAUGUAUUGGCCGCUACGGAUCAUUUGAUUGGAAUGAAAUUUGGAACGGGUAUACUUGACGAUGACGAUAUGAAUCACUUGAAAAAUAAACGUAUUCGUUCGGUUGCGGAUCUGUUACAAGAUCAAUUCGGAUUGGCUCUUGGUCGUUUACAACAUGCAGUUCAAAAAACUAUUCGUAGAGUAUUCAUACGUCAAUCGAAACCGACUCCCCAAACUUUGGUAACUCCAACUUCAACUUUCAAUUUUAUUAAUAACUACUUAUGAGACCUUUUUUCGCACAUACCCAUUAUCUCAAGUUUUUGAUCAAACGAAUCCAUUGACACAAACUAUUCAUGGGCGAAAAGUGAGUUGUUUAGGUCCUGGAGGGUUGACGGGGAGAACCGCAAGUUUUCGGAGCCGAGAUAUUCAUCCGAGUCACUAUGGGCGUAUUUGUCCAAUUGACACGUCUGAAGGAAUCAAUGUUGGACUUACUGGAUCCUUAGCAAUUCAUGCGAGAAUUGAUCACUUGUGGGGAUCUAUAGAGAGUCCGUUUUAUGAAAUAUCUGCUGAGAAAGCAAAAGAAAAAAAAGAGAGACAGGUGGUUUAUCUAUCACCAAAUAUAGAUGAGUAUUAUAUGAUAGCAGCAGGAAAUUCUUUGUCCUUGAAUCAAGGUAUUCAGGAAGAACAGGUUGUUCCAGCUAGAUACCGCCAAGAAUUCUUGACUAUUGCAUGGGAACAGAUUCAUGUUAGAAGUAUUUUUCCUUUCCAAUAUUUUUCUAUUGGGGGUUCUCUCAUUCCUUUUAUUGAGCACAAUGAUGCGAAUCGGGCUUUAAUGAGUUCUAAUAUGCAGCGCCAAGCAGUUCCACUUUCUCGGUCCGAAAAAUGCAUUGUUGGAACUGGAUUGGAACGCCAAACAGCUCUAGAUUCGAGGGUUUCCGUUAUAGCCGAACGCGGGGGAAAGAUCAUUUCUACUGAUAGUCAUAAGAUACUUUUAUCAAGUAGUGGGAAGACUAUAAGUAUUCCUUUAGUUAACCACCGUCGCUCUAACAAAAAUACUUGUAUGCACCAAAAACCUCGGGUUCCACGGGGUAAAUCCAUUAAAAAAGGACAAAUUUUAGCAGAAGGAGCUGCUACAGUUGGGGGGGAACUUGCUUUAGGAAAAAACGUAUUAGUAGCUUAUAUGCCAUGGGAAGGUUACAAUUUUGAAGACGCAGUACUAAUUAGCGAAAGUUUGGUAUAUGAGGAUAUUUAUACCUCUUUUCACAUCCGGAAAUAUGAAAUUCAGACGGAUACGACAAGCCAGGGCUCCGCUGAAAAAAUCACUAAAGAAAUACCACAUCUAGAAGAACAUUUACUCCGCAAUUUGGACAAAAAUGGAGUUGUUAGGUUGGGAUCCUGGGUAGAAACUGGUGAUAUUUUAGUAGGUAAAUUAACGCCUCAGAUAGCGAGCGAAUCAUCAUAUAUCGCAGAAGCUGGAUUAUUACGGGCCAUAUUCGGCCUUGAGGUUUCCACUUCAAAAGAAACUUCUCUGAAAUUACCUAUAGGUGGAAGAGGGCGCGUUAUCGAUGUGAAAUGGAUCCAAAGGGACCCCCUCGACAUAAUGGUUCGUGUAUAUAUUUUACAGAAACGUGAAAUCAAAGUUGGGGAUAAAGUAGCCGGAAGACAUGGGAAUAAAGGGAUCAUUUCCAAAAUUUUGCCUAGGCAAGAUAUGCCCUAUUUGCAAGAUGGAACACCCGUUGAUAUGGUCUUCAAUCCCUUAGGAGUACCCUCCCGAAUGAAUGUGGGACAAAUAUUUGAAAGCUCGCUCGGAUUAGCGGGGGAUCUUCUAAAGAAACAUUAUAGAAUAGCACCCUUUGAUGAGAGAUAUGAGCAAGAGGCUUCAAGAAAACUUGUGUUUUCAGAAUUAUAUGAAGCCAGUAAAGAAACAAAAAAUCCAUGGGUAUUUGAACCCGAGUACCCGGGAAAAAGCAGAAUAUUUGAUGGAAGAACAGGCGACCCCUUUGAGCAACCUGUUCUAAUAGGGAAGUCCUAUAUCUUAAAAUUAAUUCAUCAAGUUGAUGAGAAAAUUCAUGGGCGUUCUACUGGGCCCUACUCACUUGUUACACAACAACCGGUUAGAGGAAGAGCCAAGCAAGGGGGACAACGAGUAGGAGAAAUGGAAGUUUGGGCUUUAGAAGGAUUUGGUGUUGCUCAUAUUUUACAAGAGAUACUUACUUAUAAAUCUGACCAUCUUAUAGCUCGCCAAGAAAUACUUAAUGCUACGAUCUGGGGAAAAAGAAUACCUAAUCAUGAGGAUCCUCCAGAAUCUUUUCGAGUGCUCGUUCGAGAACUACGAUCUUUGGCUCUAGAACUGAAUCAUUUCCUUGUAUCUGAAAAGAACUUCCAGGUUAAUAGGGAGGAAGUUUGAUCGGAAUAAAUAUAAAU
Hordeum vulgare subsp. vulgare (domesticated barley) is the source of this 7774-nucleotide RNA transcript. It is a transcript of the gene named DNA-directed RNA polymerase subunit beta-like, with no coding region annotated. Lineage: Eukaryota; Viridiplantae; Streptophyta; Magnoliopsida; Poales; Poaceae. The record is from RefSeq and is a predicted model, not a curated record. The transcript has a single exon.